UGUAUUCGAUUGUAUUCGACUGUAUUCACGGCGUGAAACAGGGGAUUACACUGUUUUCAAACGGAAAGUGAAUCAAUUAACAUAAUAGACUCCU
This is a microRNA precursor of Nicotiana attenuata, 94 nucleotides long. It matches the Rfam family "MIR6152 microRNA precursor family". NCBI's taxonomy places the organism in Eukaryota, Viridiplantae, Streptophyta, Magnoliopsida, Solanales, Solanaceae. The record is from Rfam.